CUACGGGUCGCUGCAGUUAAGAAUCUUCCGCAAUGGACGAAAGUCUGACGGAGCGACGCCGCGUGGGUGAAGAAGGCCGAGAGGUUGUAAAGCCCUUUUCUGCUUGAGGAAUAAGCCUGGUAGGGAAUGACCGGGUGAUGACGGUAGGGCAGGAAUAAGCCCCGGCUAAUUACGUGCCAGCAGCCGCGGUAACACGUAUGGGGCGAGCGUUGUUCGGAAUCAUUGGGCGUAAAGGGCGUGUAGGCGGAAAUGCAAGUCUGGUGUGAAAGACCGCAGCUCAACUGCGGGGACGCGCUGGAAACUGCAUAUCUUGAGUUCCGGAGGGGGAGUUGGAAUUCCUGGUGUAGGGGUGAAAUCUGUUGAUAUCAGGAAGAACAUCGGUGGCGAAGGCGAACUCCUGGACGAGAACUGACGCUGAGGCGCGAAAGCGUGGGGAGCGAACAGGAUUAGAUACCCGAGUAGUC
RNAcentral lists this ribosomal RNA (464 nucleotides) under uncultured bacterium. Its description in RNAcentral is "partial 16S ribosomal RNA". It matches the Rfam family "Bacterial small subunit ribosomal RNA", at positions 339 to 795 of the family's 1533-position model. The record is from RNAcentral.